GAAUGUGUGUUGCUCCUUGUGGCAGGUAUACUGUUCCAAUGCCCUGGGAUCUCUGUAGUGGUCGGUACUGUAUUGAUUAUAAAUGGUGAAGUCCUAGUAUCUUGCUAGAGUGAGCUGGCCAGGAUGGUGGAGCUCUACCACCAUUUCACAGGUUAUAGACAGGGGCCACCAGGUUUCAGGAAAGCAGCAAUGACCCCUCAGUAAUAGUUGGAAAGUGUGAUAUGACACUGAGCUUCACUGUGUUGGUGAAGAAGAGGUGAGGAAAAUAAAAGCUGCAGUUUGCCUCCACCUCUGAAGAAGCACAAUACACCUUUCUGGGUUACCAAUGGGAUACUUCCCAACAGCUUUGUCAUCACAUACAAUAUUCUCAAACAAGAUCUUAAUGGCAUCUACUUUCUCCAGGAACACAGCCCCUGACCUGUGUGUGUUUGCGUAGAGAAGGCAUGCUAUGUACCCCCUAGGAUAUCAAGAUUCCUGUAGCAGAUUGAGCUCUGGCAGUUGAUCUCAGUGGCUUGAUAGAGUGUCAUUAUAAAAACGCACCUGGAAGAUUCUGUGGAAAAGACAACCUCAGAAGACCAAGAGGCUGACUUUGCAAGAGAGAGUCCGUUUACCACUUAGAACCGUGAACACCACCCCCGCCCUCAUUUAUCUCCAGACUUGAACUAGUGGUUAAAUCCCAACAUGUCCCAGAGAAGUCAAAAGCAUUGUAAAAUCUGGGAAUCUGCCCACCACUCAAGCCUGGGAAAGCUGGCAGAGGAUGCACGUGUUUUACUCACCUGAGUGUUUACAAUGCUCGUGAGGUGCCUCCCUGAUAAAGGGAAAGGCUGGUAAAAUGCCACAGCGUUCUGGCUAAAGCAACAACGCAAUUGUGAAGAGAGAAAACUGCAUUCAUCCACAUGUCCCAGCAAGAGCUAUCACCAAAGGCAUUGUGAAGCAGUUGAGCAGUUACAUCUGCUCUCCUUUAACAGGAAUGAGUCUUUAGUACCCGGUUGCAAAUGUUGACUUUUACCUUUUCUUUAAAUGUCUGCUACUCUUUGUCAUAUUUCUUCUCCUUCUCUCCAAAUUCUACCAAUAAAAGUAAAAAUUACUGAA
Long non-coding RNA from Homo sapiens (human), 1092 nucleotides. Ensembl annotates it as long intergenic non-protein coding RNA 616. The record is from Ensembl. Lineage: Eukaryota; Metazoa; Chordata; Mammalia; Primates; Hominidae.